UCCCUUGCUUUAGCUAACCGGAAUAACUUCCUGUCCCCGCCUCUCUCCCCUAGUUCCUCGUAUAUGCGGCCAAACGCCGCGUUUUUAGCUUCCGAACCGCCAGCUUUGCUUCUUUCCUCUCCACCUUGUAGAUCUCCCUGUUCGCUCUCCGUCCUUCCUUGCUUGUGCUCCCUGCAACCUUAGCAAACGACGUCUUCUUCACCUCCACUUUUCCUUCGACUACAUCGUUCCACUACCGGUCACCCUGAUGUCUGCCUGAAUAGCCGUUGGCUACCCCGAGCACGUCCGUGCUACCUCCCUAACCAAGUUCGCCGUCUCUGACCACAUAACGUCCGCUGCCCCAGAACUUCUCCAAGCUCCGCCCUCAGCUAACCUCCUCUCCAACUCCUGUG
RNAcentral lists this long non-coding RNA (392 nucleotides) under Nicotiana benthamiana. RNAcentral describes it as "long non-coding RNA (NBEN_LNC002121)". The record is from RNAcentral. Lineage: Eukaryota; Viridiplantae; Streptophyta; Magnoliopsida; Solanales; Solanaceae.